Molecule: ribosomal RNA, 462 nt
Filed under: uncultured Omnitrophica bacterium
Lineage: Bacteria; Pseudomonadati; Candidatus Omnitrophota
Description: bacterial SSU rRNA
Rfam family: Bacterial small subunit ribosomal RNA
Source: RNAcentral
UGUGGUUCAAUUCGACGCUACGCGAAGAACCUCACCAGGGUUUGACAUAUAGGUAGUAGGAACCUGAAAGGGAGACGACUCGUUAAGCCGAGUGCCUAUACAGGUGUUGCAUGGCUGUCGUCAGCUCGUGCCGUGAGGUGUUGGGUUAAGUCCCGCAACGAGCGCAACCAUCAUCCUUAGUUGCUACCGAGGGAUCCGAAAGGGUCCUGGCGAGCACUCUAAGGAGACUGCCCGUGAUAAACGGGAGGAAGGUGGAGAUGACGUCAAGUCCGUAUGGCCCUUAUACCCUGGGCUACACACGUGUUACAAUGGGAUGUACAGAGCGUUGCCAAACCGCGAGGUGGAGCUAAUCGCAAAAAGCAUCCCCCAGUUCAGAUUGGAGUCUGCAACCCGACUCCAUGAAGUUGGAAUUGCUAGUAACGGCGGAUCAGCUACGCCGCCGUGAAUACGUUCCCGGGCCUU